UGGCAGGUCACCCCACAAGGGCAGCAGCUGCU
RNAcentral lists this non-coding RNA (32 nucleotides) under Rattus norvegicus (Norway rat). The record is from RNAcentral. Lineage: Eukaryota; Metazoa; Chordata; Mammalia; Rodentia; Muridae.